UACGUAGGAGGCGAGCGUUGUCCGGAGUUACUGGGCGUAAAGCGCACGCAGGCGGUCAGAUAAGUCUGUGGUGACAGUCGUCGGCUUAACCGACGAAGUACUAAAGAAACUGUCUGACUUGAGGGCUUCAGAGGGACAUGGAAUUCCGGGUGGAGUGGUGAAAUGCGUAGAUAUCCGGAGGAACACCGAUGGCGAAGGCAAUGUCCUGGGAAGCAUCUGACGCUCAGGUGCGAAAGCUAGGGGAGCGAACAGG
Molecule: ribosomal RNA, 253 nt
Filed under: uncultured bacterium
Lineage: Bacteria
Description: partial 16S ribosomal RNA
Rfam family: Bacterial small subunit ribosomal RNA
Source: RNAcentral